This 253-nucleotide ribosomal RNA is filed under the name uncultured bacterium. RNAcentral describes it as "partial 16S ribosomal RNA". It matches the Rfam family "Bacterial small subunit ribosomal RNA", at positions 524 to 776 of the family's 1533-position model. The record is from RNAcentral.
UACGGGGGGGGCAAGCGUUGUUCGGAAUUACUGGGCGUAAAGCGCGUGUAGGCGGCCAGGUAAGUCCGUUCUGAAAGCCCGGGGCUCAACCCCGGGAGGCGGAUGGAUACUGCUUGGCUCGAGUCCGGAAGAGGCGAGUGGAAUUCCCGGUGUAGCGGUGAAAUGCGCAGAUAUCGGGAGGAACACCAAUGGCGAAGGCAGCUCGCUGGGACGGUACUGACGCUGAGACGCGAAAGCGUGGGGAGCAAACAGG